CGAGCUGUAAUUUGUAGAGGAUGCUUUUGGCGCGGUGCCUUCCGAGUUCCCUGGAACGGGACGCCAUAGAGGGUGAGAGCCCCGUCUGGUUGGACACCUAGCCUCUGUAAAGCUCCUUCGACGAGUCGAGUAGUUUGGGAAUGCUGCUCUAAAUGGGAGGUAUAUGUCUUCUAAAGCUAAAUACCGGCCAGAGACCGAUAGCGCACAAGUAGAGUGAUCGAAAGAUGAAAAGCACUUUGAAAAGAGGGUUAAAUAGUACGUGAAAUUGUUGAAAGGGAAGCGUUUGUGACCAGACUUGGGCCCGGUUGAUCAUCCACCGUUCUCGGUGGUGCACUCUGCCGGCCCAGGCCAGCAUCAGUUCGCGCCGGGGGAUAAAGGCUUCGGGAAUGUGGCUCCUCCGGGAGUGUUAUAGCCCGUUGUGUAAUACCCUGGUGCGGACUGAGGUUCGCGCUCCGCAAGGAUGCUGGCGUAAUGGUCAUCAGCGACCCGUCUUGAAACACGGACCAAGGAGUCGUCUUCGUAUGCGAGUGUUCGGGUGUCAAACCCCUACGCGUAAUGAAAGUGAACGCAGGUGAGAGCUUCGGCGCAUCAUCGACCGAUCCUGAUGUUCUCGGAUGGAUUUGAGUAAGAGCAUACGGGGCCGGACCCGAAAGAAGGUGAACUAUGCCUGUAUAGGGUGAAGCCAGAGGAAACUCUGGUGGAGGCUCGCAGCGGUUCUGACGUGCAAAUCGAUCGUCAAAUAUGGGCAUGGGGGGCGAAAGACUAAUCGA
The sequence is a ribosomal RNA, 770 nucleotides long. It matches the Rfam family "Eukaryotic large subunit ribosomal RNA", at positions 139 to 938 of the family's 3401-position model.